RNAcentral lists this ribosomal RNA (305 nucleotides) under uncultured bacterium. RNAcentral describes it as "bacterial SSU rRNA". It matches the Rfam family "Bacterial small subunit ribosomal RNA", at positions 335 to 658 of the family's 1533-position model. The record is from RNAcentral.
CUACCUACGGGGGGCAGCAGUGGGGAAUAUUGCACAAUGGGGGAAGCCCUGAUGCAGCAACGCCGCGUGAGUGAUGACGGCCUUCGGGUUGUAAAGCUCUGUCUUCAGGGACGAUAAUGACGGUACCUGAGGAGGAAGCCACGGCUAACUACGUGCCAGCAGCCGCGGUAAUACGUAGGUGGCGAGCGUUGUCCGGAAUUACUGGGUGUAAAGGGAGCGUAGGCGGGGAUGCAAGUUGGGUGUCAAAACUAUCGGCUCAACCGAUAGUCGCACUCAAAACUGCAACUCUUGAGUGAAGUAGAGGC